RNAcentral lists this transfer RNA (70 nucleotides) under Lepidosiren paradoxa (South American lungfish). RNAcentral's name for it is "tRNA-Tyr". It matches the Rfam family "tRNA". Rfam says of the family: Transfer RNA (tRNA) molecules are approximately 80 nucleotides in length. The record is from RNAcentral. Lineage: Eukaryota; Metazoa; Chordata; Ceratodontiformes; Lepidosirenidae.
AGUAGGGUGGCCGAGAGUUAGGCUGUGGAUUGUAGACCCACUAAGGGAGGAUAAAUACCUCCCCCUUCUA